CCUACGGGGGGCUGCAGUGAGGAAUAUUGGUCAAUGGACGAGAGUCUGAACCAGCCAAGUAGCGUGAAGGAUGACUGCCCUAUGGGUUGUAAACUUCUUUUAUAUGGGAAUAAAAUGUUCCACGUGUGGGAUUUUGUAUGUACCAUACGAAUAAGGAUCGGCUAACUCCGUGCCAGCAGCCGCGGUAAUACGGAGGAUCCGAGCGUUAUCCAGAUUUAUUGGGUUUAAAGGGAGCGUAGGUGGAUUGUUAAGUCAGUUGUGAAAGUUUGCGGCUCAACCGUAAAAUUGCAGUUGAAACUGGCAGUCUUGAGUACAGUAGAGGUGGGCGGAAUUCGUGGUGUAGCGGUGAAAUGCUUAGAUAUCACGAAGAACUCCGAUUGCGAAGGCAGUUCACUGGACUGCAACUGACACUGAGGCUCGAAAGUGUGGGUAUCAAACAGGAUUAGAUACCCCUGUAGUC
RNAcentral lists this ribosomal RNA (460 nucleotides) under uncultured bacterium. RNAcentral describes it as "partial 16S ribosomal RNA". It matches the Rfam family "Bacterial small subunit ribosomal RNA", at positions 338 to 795 of the family's 1533-position model. The record is from RNAcentral.